GUCUAUUUUCAAAUGGAUAGGGUAUAGGUUUUCUAAACCUUUGAUAGAAGUUUCAAAUCCUAUUGGA
Molecule: transfer RNA, 67 nt
Filed under: Christisonia kwangtungensis
Lineage: Eukaryota; Viridiplantae; Streptophyta; Magnoliopsida; Lamiales; Orobanchaceae
Description: tRNA-Arg
Source: RNAcentral